This 72-nucleotide transfer RNA is filed under the name Limnoraphis robusta. Its description in RNAcentral is "tRNA-Thr". It matches the Rfam family "tRNA". Rfam says of the family: Transfer RNA (tRNA) molecules are approximately 80 nucleotides in length. Their secondary structure includes four short double-helical elements and three loops (D, anti-codon, and T loops). Lineage: Bacteria; Bacillati; Cyanobacteriota; Cyanophyceae; Oscillatoriales; Sirenicapillariaceae. The record is from RNAcentral. RNAcentral also lists the same sequence under 6 other names.
GCCGAUGUGGCUCAGGGGUAGAGCGGCGCACUCGUAAUGCGUAGGUCGGGGGUUCAAAUCCCCCCAUCGGCU